This 549-nucleotide ribosomal RNA is filed under the name Borreliella burgdorferi (Lyme disease spirochete). RNAcentral describes it as "bacterial SSU rRNA". It matches the Rfam family "Bacterial small subunit ribosomal RNA", at positions 19 to 562 of the family's 1533-position model. Lineage: Bacteria; Pseudomonadati; Spirochaetota; Spirochaetia; Spirochaetales; Borreliaceae. The record is from RNAcentral.
CUGGCUUAGAACUAACGCUGGCAGUGCGUCUUAAGCAUGCAAGUCAAACGGGAUGUAGCAAUACAUCUAGUGGCGAACGGGUGAGUAACGCGUGGAUGAUCUACCUACGAGAUGGGGAUAACUAUUAGAAAUAGUAGCUAAUACCGAAUAAAGUCAAUUAAUUUGUUAAUUGAUGAAAGGAAGCCUUUAAAGCUUCGCUUGUAGAUGAGUCUGCGUCUUAUUAGCUAGUUGGUAGGGUAAAUGCCUACCAAGGCGAUGAUAAGUAACCGGCCUGAGAGGGUGAACGGUCACACUGGAACUGAGAUACGGUCCAGACUCCUACGGGAGGCAGCAGCUAAGAAUCUUCCGCAAUGGGCGAAAGCCUGACGGAGCGACACUGCGUGAAUGAAGAAGGUCGAAAGAUUGUAAAAUUCUUUUAUAAAUGAGGAAUAAGCUUUGUAGGAAAUGACAAAGUGAUGACGUUAAUUUAUGAAUAAGCCCCGGCUAAUUACGUGCCAGCAGCCGCGGUAAUACGUAAGGGGCGAGCGUUGUUCGGGAUUAUUGGGCGUA